This 735-nucleotide long non-coding RNA is filed under the name Pongo abelii (Sumatran orangutan). RNAcentral's name for it is "lincRNA". The record is from RNAcentral. Lineage: Eukaryota; Metazoa; Chordata; Mammalia; Primates; Hominidae.
GAGGUUUGCUAGCAAACAAAACUCUAACAAAGAACGCUGUUUAUUUUUUCUUUUCUUUUCUUGAGAUAGAUAUUUUUUAUUUUAAGUUCUGGGAUACAUGUGCAGAACGUGCAGGUUUGCUACAUAGAUACACAUGUGCCAUGGUGGUUCGCUGCACCUAUCAACCCAUCAUCUAGGUUUUAAGCCCUGUUUUGAUUUGAAUAUUAUUCAAUACAAGUGAAUAUUGAAAUGUGGACAUUUAUGCUAAGAACAGCUUCUGGAAUUAUACAUUUGCCUUGUAUUCUUACCAAUUGUAAGAUGGAUAAACAAGCAGAAAUUCAAAAUGACAGAAUUAUAUUUCUUUGCAUCUGGAUUUUAUUCUGUUCCUGGUCCAAGUUUCAAGAUUGUCAAGAAUGACAAGUUGGACUUGGUCUAGUUACUUCCACAGCAGCAGGAGGAACAUGUGUGUGACUCAGGAUAACUGGGGAAGCCUUGGCUAGGCUUUCCUCAUGUCAACCUACCACUCAAAGGGAGAAAACCUCCUGAUCAGAGGAGCCCAGAACCCAGGAAAUCCAUAAUUUUUGAAUGCUGGCCGAGGUCUGUGACCUCUGACUGAAUGGUUUCCAAGCUCUGAAUUCCUAGGUAUAACACUUGCUGAAGAAAGGAAAAGCUCUCUGAUUUAGGUGUAAGCAAAACAAUCUAAACAGUAGGAUAAAAUCGUGUUGGAGUGGAGUUCUGUGUGAGCGCUGUCUUUGA